GCGAGAGGGGGGCACACGAUCUAGCCAAACUGGUUUACACCCAGUAGGUCGGGGGUUCGAGCCCCUCAUGGCGCACAA
Molecule: transfer RNA, 78 nt
Filed under: Corynebacterium sanguinis
Lineage: Bacteria; Bacillati; Actinomycetota; Actinomycetes; Mycobacteriales; Corynebacteriaceae
Description: tRNA-Val
Source: RNAcentral